CGGAUUAGCGGCGAACGGGUGAGUAACGCGUGAGGAACCUGCCUCUUACAACGGGAUAGCCUCGGGAAACCGGGAUUAAUACCGUAUAAGACUCCGACAUCUCCCGAUGAUGAAGUCAAAGCGUUAGCGGUAAGAGAUGGCCUCGCGUCUGAUUAGCUUGUUGGCGGGGUAACGGCCCACCAAGGCGACGAUCAGUAACCGGCCUGAGAGGGUGAACGGUCACAUUGGAACUGAGACACGGUCCAA
Molecule: ribosomal RNA, 246 nt
Filed under: uncultured Eubacteriales bacterium
Lineage: Bacteria; Bacillati; Bacillota; Clostridia; Eubacteriales
Description: uncultured Clostridiales bacterium partial 16S ribosomal RNA
Rfam family: Bacterial small subunit ribosomal RNA
Source: RNAcentral